This is a long non-coding RNA of Daktulosphaira vitifoliae (grape phylloxera), 1194 nucleotides long. RefSeq lists it as uncharacterized. The record is from RefSeq and is a predicted model, not a curated record. The transcript is spliced from 6 exons. Lineage: Eukaryota; Metazoa; Arthropoda; Insecta; Hemiptera; Phylloxeridae.
AUUUAUCAUUUUUCCAUAAGUUGGACAAGAGUUUUACCAAACGUAUUCGAUCAAAAACCCAGCCUAAUGGGUGUUAAAUAUUAUAAUGAUUUAAUAAAUAAAUUGCUUCAAACUAAUAUUAAACCAGUGGUAAUACAAUUUUUCAUUCUAAAAUUAAUAGGUUUUUAUUACACUGAUAAUAUUACUAUAUAAAAAAAAAAUGAAACAAACUCAAAAAAAAAAUAUAUAUUUAAUCAAUAAGUGACUAUUUAUCAUUGGGACUUGCCUGAAUUUUUACAAAAACUUGGUGGUUGGACUAAUAUAAAAAUCAUUAAAUAUUUUGAAUAUUAUUGCGAAUUUGUUUUUGAAACAUUUGGAGAUAGAGUUAAAUACUGGAUUACAAUAAACGAACCUCAUUGGGUUUCUGAAGGAUAUAGAUUUGAUCAAUUAGCUCCAGCUUUGGGGUAUGCUUAUAGUGGAAUCGCUGAUUAUAUGGUUAUUCAUAAUUUAUUACUUGCUCAUGCAGCAGCAUACAGAUUAUACGAAAAGAACUAUAAAAAGACACAAAAAGAUUAAUAUUUAAUGGUGUUUUCCAAAAGAUUCUCAUAAUGAGGAAGAUAAAGAAGCUGCUGAAAUCGCAUUACAGUAUCACGUAGGCAUGUUUACUGAGCCUCUAAUAACUGUUGUUUAACCAAAAAAUGUCAUUAAGUCGAUCAAUAAAUCAAAUGAAGAUUUUAAUUUAACAAUUAAACGGACAUAUUCGUUCACAGAAGAAGAAAAAAAACAACUUAUAGGGUCCUAUGAUUUUGUAUCUAUUAGUUAUUAUCAUUCAACUUAUGUAAGAGCUUUAUCUAAAGAUGAAAGAGAACAAAGUGAUAAUUUAAGAAUGAAAGACAUACCAGUAAAUGAAACCGACAUACAAAAUAUUAACCAAAAUGCUUUAGGAUUUUCAUUAGUAUUAAACUGGUUAAAAGAAAAAUUCAAUAAUUCAGAAAUAUUCAUUGCUGAAAAUGGUUUCUCUGGUACAACGGAAGAUGAGAAAUCUGUUGAAAAGAAACAAUAUCAUCAUGUAAUAUAUUGUAAUAACACAUUUUGAAAUAAUCAAUUAAACAAUUGAAAAUUCUCUAAAAACAAAUAGUUAUUCUUAAAAAUUAAGCUUGACGGAGACUAAAAAUAGUUAUACCAUCAGGGUUAUGUUUAGAAGAGAAAAAUAAU